RNAcentral lists this ribosomal RNA (460 nucleotides) under uncultured bacterium. RNAcentral describes it as "partial 16S ribosomal RNA". It matches the Rfam family "Bacterial small subunit ribosomal RNA", at positions 338 to 795 of the family's 1533-position model. The record is from RNAcentral.
CCUACGGGUGGCAGCAGUGAGGAAUAUUGGUCAAUGGGCGUAAGCCUGAACCAGCCAAGUCGCGUGAGGGAUGAAGGUUCUAUGGAUCGUAAACCUCUUUUAUAAGGGAAUAAAGUGUGGGUCGUUUCCUAUUUUGUAUGUACCUUAUGAAUAAGGAUCGGCUAACUCCGUGCCAGCAGCCGCGGUAAUACGGAGGAUCCGAGCGUUAUCCGGAUUUAUUGGGGUGAAAGGGUGCGUAGGCGGCCUUUUAAGUCAGCGGUGAAAGUCUGUGGCUCAACCAUAGAAUUGCCGUUGAAACUGGGGGGCUUGAGUAUGUGUGAGGCAGGCGGAAUGCGUGGUGUAGCGGUGAAAUGCUUAGAUAUCACGCAGAACCCCGAUUGCGAAGGCGGCCUGCCAAGCCAUGACUGACGCUGAUGCACGAAAGCGUGGGGAUCAAACAGGAUUAGAUACCCGAGUAGUC